GUUUUCAGUUUGCAUAUGAGCCCAAGGAAUGCUAACUUACAAGCAAAGAAGAACAUCUGGAAAGCUGCUCAGGAGGAGGACAAAGGCUGGGAUGACAUCUGUUGCAAAGCAUUACCGAGAGCCUUCGGCAUACUUGUCAACCGAUGGUUCAAGUGUGAUUACUUGAGUAAUGAUGGUCUUGAUUUAUGGCUACCUAAUGGGUAGAUCUAUUUUAUAACACUGUCUUUCCAUAAUUUUUCACAGGUGGAAAGAAGUGCAAAUGCAUUGGCUACUUUUGGUAUGAUCUCUUAUUGUUUUUGUUGGAUGUGUAUCCUAGAAAGCCAAUUAUUGGCUGACACAUUAUAAUUUCAGGACUUAUAUUUAUACUUAUAAAAUUUUAUUAUUAAUAAAAGGACUUCUUAUUU
Elaeis guineensis (African oil palm) is the source of this 404-nucleotide non-coding RNA. Lineage: Eukaryota; Viridiplantae; Streptophyta; Magnoliopsida; Arecales; Arecaceae. The record is from RefSeq and is a predicted model, not a curated record.